GUGGCAGACGGGUGCGUAACACGUGAGAAACCUGCCCAACGGUGGGGGACAGCCGGCCUAACGGCCGGGUAAUACCGCAUACGCUCGUUUGGGGGCAUCCCUGGGCGAGGAAAGCAGCCGCAAGGUUGCACCGAUGGAGGGUCUCGCGGCCUAUCAGCUAGUUGGCGGGGUAACGGUCCACCAAGGCGACGACGGGUAGCUGGUCUGAGAGGAUGGCCAGCCACAUUGGGACUGAGACACGGCCCAGACUCCUACGGGAGGCAGCAGUGGGGAAUAUUGCGCAAUGGCCGAAAGGCUGACGCAGCGACGCCGCGUGUGGGAUGACGGCCUUCGGGUUGUAAACCACUGUCGGGGGGGACGAAUACGGGGCCUCAAAUAGGGGACCCUGGGUGACGGUACCCCCAAAGGAAGCACCGGCUAACUCCGUGCCAGCAGCCGCGGUAAUACGGAGGGUGCGAGCGUUGUCCGGAAUCACUGGGCGUAAAGGGCGCGUAGGCGGCCUGCUAAGUUGCGGGUGAAAUCCCGGGGCUUAACUCCGGGGCUGCCAGUAAGACUGGCAGGCUAGAGCACGGUAGAGGCAGAUGGAAUUCCCGGUGUAGCGGUGGAAUGCGUAGAGAUCGGGAAGAACACCAGUGGCGAAGGCGAUCUGCUGGGCCGUUGCUGA
This 664-nucleotide ribosomal RNA is filed under the name uncultured Gemmatimonadota bacterium. RNAcentral's name for it is "bacterial SSU rRNA". It matches the Rfam family "Bacterial small subunit ribosomal RNA", at positions 95 to 743 of the family's 1533-position model. The record is from RNAcentral. Lineage: Bacteria; Pseudomonadati; Gemmatimonadota.